This 222-nucleotide ribosomal RNA is filed under the name uncultured bacterium. Its description in RNAcentral is "partial 16S ribosomal RNA". It matches the Rfam family "Bacterial small subunit ribosomal RNA", at positions 328 to 539 of the family's 1533-position model. The record is from RNAcentral.
ACGCUCGACACCUACGGGAGGAGCAGUAGGGAAUCUUCCACAAUGGACGCAAGUCUGAUGGAGCAACGCCGCGUGAGUGAAGAAGGUCUUCGGAUCGUAAAACUCUGUUGUUAGAGAAGAACACGAGUGAGAGUAACUGUUCAUUCGAUGACGGUAUCUAACCAGCAAGUCACGGCUAACUACGUGCCAACAGCCGCGGUAAUCUGAGCGGGCUGGCAAGGC